AAGGAUAUAGCUUAAAGGUAGAGCGCAUGUCUUCAACACAUGUAGUGGUAGUUCGAGUCUACCUAUCCUUG
Molecule: transfer RNA, 71 nt
Filed under: Insectozyma bohioensis
Lineage: Eukaryota; Fungi; Ascomycota; Pichiomycetes; Serinales; Debaryomycetaceae
Description: Candida bohioensis tRNA-Trp
Rfam family: tRNA
About the family: Transfer RNA (tRNA) molecules are approximately 80 nucleotides in length.
Source: RNAcentral